Molecule: ribosomal RNA, 253 nt
Filed under: uncultured bacterium
Lineage: Bacteria
Description: partial 16S ribosomal RNA
Rfam family: Bacterial small subunit ribosomal RNA
Source: RNAcentral
GACGGAAGGUGCAAGCGUUGCUCGGAAUCACUGGGCGUAAAGGGUGCGUAGGCGGCCGUGCAAGUCUGGCGUGAAAGCCCCGGGCUCAGCCCGGGAAGUGCGCUCGAAACUGCGCGGCUCGAGUGCCGGAGGGGAGAGUGGAAUUCCUGGUGUAGCGGUGAAAUGCGCAGAUAUCAGGAGGAACACCGGUGGCGAAGGCGGGUCUCUGGGCCGUAACUGACGCUGAGGAGCGAAAGCGUGGGGAGCGAACAGG